Molecule: ribosomal RNA, 505 nt
Filed under: Salmonella enterica
Lineage: Bacteria; Pseudomonadati; Pseudomonadota; Gammaproteobacteria; Enterobacterales; Enterobacteriaceae
Description: partial 23S ribosomal RNA
Rfam family: Bacterial large subunit ribosomal RNA
Source: RNAcentral
UCCUGUCUGAAUAUGGGGGGACCAUCCUCCAAGGCUAAAUACUCCUGACUGACCGAUAGUGAACCAGUACCGUGAGGGAAAGGCGAAAAGAACCCCGGCGAGGGGAGUGAAAAAGAACCUGAAACCGUGUACGUACAAGCAGUGGGAGCCCCACCACUAAGCCAGUGGUGAACUCCACAUACGCAUCCUUUGCUGAGGAUACGGUUAACGGAGCGAAAGCGACGUUCAACCGCAAAAGAAGCAGAGGGGGCUUAGUGGUGGGGUGACUGCGUACCUUUUGUAUAAUGGGUCAGCGACUUAUAUUCUGUAGCAAGGUUAACCGAAUAGGGGAGCCGGAGGGAAACCGAGUCUUAACCGGGCGUUAAGUUGCAGGGUAUAGACCCGAAACCCGGUGAUCUAGCCAUGGGCAGGUUGAAGGUUGGGUAACACUAACUGGAGGACCGAACCGACUAAUGUUGAAAAAUUAGCGGAUGACCUGUGGCUGGGGGUGAAAGGCCAAUCAAAC